AUCACGUCUCCAGGUGAGGGUCGGGCCAGAAAAGCUUCCACAAAAUUUCUUUUGUAGAUCAAAGAAAGAAUCUGGCUCGCUUGAGUGGUAUAAUAGUUUCGUUUACACCAAAUUUGCACCAAUGACAGUUUAUUGAAAUUCAUCUGGAGUGAACCUGAGUGUUGUGAUAAUUGGGAUUUCAUUACAAAUCAAAUAGUUUUAUUGCAGAAACUCGUAUGCGUAUACUCCAUACAACACUCCCAAAACUGACCAUGAAUGACACGGGCUUUCGUUAAAUGACUUCUACAACGUCGUUAAAAGUGUCCAUAAAUUGUAAUUGGAAUAGUUAUCAACAUUAGAAAUGCGCUUAAAUCGU
Hermetia illucens (black soldier fly) is the source of this 355-nucleotide long non-coding RNA. RefSeq lists it as uncharacterized. The record is from RefSeq and is a predicted model, not a curated record. Lineage: Eukaryota; Metazoa; Arthropoda; Insecta; Diptera; Stratiomyidae. The transcript has 3 exons.